RNAcentral lists this ribosomal RNA (253 nucleotides) under uncultured bacterium. RNAcentral's name for it is "partial 16S ribosomal RNA". It matches the Rfam family "Bacterial small subunit ribosomal RNA", at positions 524 to 776 of the family's 1533-position model. The record is from RNAcentral.
UACGAAGGGGGCUAGCGUUGCUCGGAAUCACUGGGCGUAAAGCGCACGUAGGCGGAUUGCUAAGUCAGGGGUGAAAUCCUGGAGCUCAACUCCAGAACUGCCCCUGAUACUGGCGGUCUCGAGUCCGGGAGAGGUGAGUGGAACUGCGAGUGUAGAGGUGAAAUUCGUAGAUAUUCGCAAGAACACCAGUGGCGAAGGCGGCUCACUGGCCCGGUACUGACGCUGAGGUGCGAAAGCGUGGGGAGCAAACAGG